GGGUCACUCAGAGAGGUUCACAGGGUUACAUGGAGAAGAGAAGAGGGAGGAGGGAGUUAGAGGUGACCCAAAUGAGAUGAGGUGAAUCAAUAGUGGAGAGAGUGGGCUAGCCAGUAGUCACUUCCUUAUGUGCACUCCACAACUGGACCACUCAGAGAUGUUCACGGGGUUAUACAGAGAAGAGAAGGAGGAAGGUAACUGAGGUGGCCAGAAGGAUAAAAGGGGGGAAUGAAAAGGAGGGAGACAGAUCCAGCCAGUAAUCAGUUCCCUAAGUGUUCUCCACCGUCUGGAACACACAGAAAUUCACAGAGUUGGGUAGAGUAGAGAGGGGUUAGGGAGGAGACACAGGCGCCUGGUGGAGAAAAAGGAGGGUCCAAAGGGAGAGAGAGCAGUCAAGCCAGUAAUCUCACUCCCUAGUGAAAAAUGGGUCCUGAAGAUUGGGUCCUUAAAGGUACAAAAUUGGUAACAAAUACAUAAAAGCAAAAAUUAAAAAUCUAGAGUAGAGUUUGGAAUUUCAAAAAUACGACGUUAAAGAAAAGAAGAAGGAAAAGAAAGAGAGAAAGAACGAACAAACAAAAACAAACAAGGUCGCGAAAAUUAUAAAGAAAGUACAGGUACAAAAUUGAUAACUAAUACCAGAAAGCAAAAAUUAAAAAUCUAGAGUAGAGUUUGGAAUUUCAAAAAUACAAUGUUUAAAAAAAAAAAAAAAAGAAGAAGAAGAAGAAAAAUAAAGAGAGAAAACAAACAAACAAAUACGAACAAUGUCACAAAAAUUAUAAAGAAAAUACAGGUACAAAAUUGAUAUCAAAUACCAAAAAGCAUAAAUUAAAAAUCUAGAGUAAAGUUUGGAAUUUCAGAUAUACAAUGUUAUAUAAAAGAAGAAGAGAAAGAAACAGAGAAGAAGAAAAGAAAAAAAAAAAAAAAAAAAAAAAAAAAAAAAAAAAAAAGGUCACAGAAAUUAUAUAAAAAAAAACUAUAGGUACAAAAUUGAUAACAUAUACCAAAAAGCGAAAAUUAAAAAUCUAGAGUAGAGUUUGGAAUUUCAAAAAUACAAUGUUAAAGAAAAGAAGAAAAAAACAAAGACCAAAAAAAAAAAAAAACCAAGGUCAAAAAAUUAUAAAAUAUAUAUAUAUGAAGUUUGCUGAAGAAGAAAAAAAUAGGGUCUUUUUUUUUUUUUUGCAAAGUAAUAGGUUAUAAAAGUGAAAAUUAAAGGAACAAUAGAGGACUUAAAUUUUUUUUUUUUUAAUUAAAAAAAAAAAAGAAUGAUCGUAAAAAUAAUAAAAAUAUUUCUAGGACUUUUUUGUUUUUUUUUGUGUGGGUGUUGUGGGUUCAGUUCAUUUUUGGCUAGUUCCUUGGUCAGAUUUAUAUUUCUCAAGAUCUAUAGGCCCCUUCCUAUGUAGUCCGUAGUAACCACAGGGUUUUGAUCUAUUGCCUGUAGCUUCCAAGGCGUUUCCCUCUGUUAUAUCUUCUUCUGUUUGCUAGUCUCUUCAGUAUCUGGUUUCCGCCCUGACUCAAAGGGCACGGUGGAGGACACUUUUUUUUUUUUUUUUUUUAGGCUUACUUGUUCAGUCGCGCUCUGGGGAGGAAGGGAGGGAUGCUGCAAACAAAUAACACUGGCGUGGGCUCGCAGUGCCUCAGCCACCCUGGGUCUGCCCCCGCUCACGGCGCGUGUAGCCUCCCUGUCCACACUGCUCGGACUCUAGGUUGUUCCACCGGGAACAAUCCGAGGCUGGCCCUGGGCUGCAUGCACCUCCCAGGUCCAAGCCGCUCAGGUUCAGGCACUCGGGUAGUCCUCAGAGGCACAGACUCAGUUGGGCCUGCGUUUUGUGCUCUUCCCAGGUCCGAGCGCCAAUUUGCUCUUCCCAGGCGAGCGCCAAUGCUGCGACUUAUCGCCUCCCCGCCACUCGGUUAUCUGGAUGUAAAACCGGCGCACCUUCUCAGGCAGAUGUUGACCGUCCAGACC
Bos taurus (domestic cattle) is the source of this 1963-nucleotide long non-coding RNA. NCBI's taxonomy places the organism in Eukaryota, Metazoa, Chordata, Mammalia, Artiodactyla, Bovidae. The record is from Ensembl.